RNAcentral lists this long non-coding RNA (527 nucleotides) under Triticum aestivum (bread wheat). RNAcentral describes it as "long non-coding RNA (TAES_LNC028291)". The record is from RNAcentral. Lineage: Eukaryota; Viridiplantae; Streptophyta; Magnoliopsida; Poales; Poaceae.
UGCCUAAUCUUAUGGAGGGGAAAACUGUUCUUCUUUGUCUGAUGGUGCUAGUGUUGCUAGUAAAUUCCACUCACGCUGGUACAAAAUUGAUCUCCCUAUUGCUAUAUAUGUGUUUUAGUUUUACAUCAAAUUGCAGUAAAACAAGUUGUCAUGAAUAUUGUCGAAUCAACUACAUGAAUUUCUUUGUACACUUUCAAUUUGGAAUUCUCUGGCUGAUGUAUGUAUGUUGUCUACAGAGCAUUGCGAAACACACAUUACACCGGACUUUAUGUGCUCGAGUUACCAUUGCCGGAGUAUGUGCAGGGAUGAGUGGGACCAUGUAAAGGAAGCGUACUGCAGCAUCGGCAAGUCAUUUUUUCAACGUCAAUGUGUCUGCGUUGUAUGUGACUAGAGUAGCACUCUAGCAUCAUACCAAAUAAUGAACAAUUAUGCCCAAUAAUAAAAUGUUCUUGUGACAUGUAUAAAAGAACCUUGAUCUCCAAGGUCAUGUGUUCUAUUUGAUUUGAUUUUAUAGUGCAUAAUAUUAG